ACUUAGUACGCAUGCGCAUACCAGGCGCGACAGGUGGGCGGACACAGAAGGCGACGCCUAGGGCUGUGUUGUCCCGGAAGUGCCUUCUCUCCUCCCGGGUCUGCGCGGACGCGGCCUCCUUACCUCAUUUGUCCUCGCCCCUCCCCGUCCCUCUACGCGUUUUGGUCCCUGUUUGGUGCUUUCUGUUUGCAGCUACGGCAGUGAGUAUGUAUGUGACGGACCCCGAGUCACCCGCGGCCUGGGACCCCUGCCUACCCUCCGUCUCGCCAGCCGAGCUGUGGAACUAGCGCGUGCCCCCUCGCCGACCUCGGCGUCUCCGGUCCGCCCCUCACUUGUGGUGGGGCGCAGCUCCUGGUCCCUCAGCUGCGCGCCGCCCCACGCGGCCGGGCUGCGGGUCUAGGGGGUCCGCAUCUCCCUGGCUUUCCAAGGGCUAAGGUCGUGAUUCUAGGGCGGCUGGGCGUCCAGGGCCUCGGUGGGGGUGGCGUGUCUGCCCUUUUUAUCUCCCCGCAAGGCCCCCAGUCUUCUAGGGAAGCCAGUCAGUGAAGCGCGGAGGUCCGGGCGCGCCGAGAGAGAGUCCAGUCUUUGAGGACCGAGUAGUCCUGGGCCACCUCCCGCCUCUGCUGUCAGAAGCAGCAGCUGCCGCCGUGGAAUCCAAAAUUUCGGGAGCUGUGACCCUUUCCUCAUGUAAAACGAGUAGUCUUGGACGAUCUGGGCAUAGGAACCAAUCAGAAACAAUCGCUUCAGCAAUCAAGACCAUUGUUCAUCAUGGAGGAACCCAUGGAUACCUCUGAGCCUCUAUCUGCAUUACCAUUCACUGGGCAGCAGUCUUUUGAGCCAAGUGGCAAAUUUGGACAGUAUCCAUCGAUGCAGAUGAACCACAUCCAGGCACUGGGGAAGUGGAGGACAUAGAACAGCUCAAUCAGUGUUUGAUCCAACACUUCCAUCUCAUUAAGACAAGUUUGAUUUUUCUUUGCUUUUUAUUUCAUGGAAUACAUGAGAAUCUCUUAACUGUUGGAGUUUCCAAGGAGGCAUACCUCAUGACUUCAGUUAAUGGAAAGAACAAAACUAAAAUGCUGUAUGGCCAAAGCCACAAAGGGAAGGAUCCACAAUUUACAUUCUUGGAGCUAUCAUCUGUACUGUACUGUUGUGAUCUACUGAUUGGCAUUGGCAUAGUAGUAGGGGUCAAGUGACAGAAUCCGUGCCAGCAGUCUCCAGGUUCAGAAGCAAUUCAAGACCCUGAUGAUAGCUCUCCAGCAACCAACACAUGGUGAUUGUGCCAACUUGUUGCUCAGUUAUAAUGCAGGGCCAGUGAUUGGUUUAAGUGAAGACCAUGGUUGAGAUCAUUUGUCUUUGGUCUAAUAGAAUUUGAGUCUAGUAGAAUUUGAGUCUCCAGGGAAAGAGCUACUUGACCAAAUUAAACUAGUAGCAGGUAGAGCAUGAAUGACAGCAUAUUAUACCAUCAAGAUGUUCUUAGAGCAGUGUAUGGAUGGAUCGAUUGUACUGCCAUCAGUUGUGACUGACGUUGUAUUCAAGGAGAAAGAGAAACUUGUUUAGAAAGCACUUUGAAAGUUUUUUGAGUACGGGGGUGCCCUGUAUCACCCCGUUAUGGUUGAACUUUCUCCUUCAAAAUUACCAGACUUGGCAGCAGUGGCAAAUUAUUGGGCUAAAAGACUUAAUCAGACAUAUUCUGGGUUCAAGGCUCCUAAUAUAAUACCUGGUGCAAACAUUAUACUUCCACUCAUUCAGAUGGUUGCAUCCUGCCAGGCAUCCAGUGGGACUGGGAAUAUGGACACUUGAACAUUAAACAUCCUGAAGAAUUUUGGAAUGACAGGUUACAAGUGAACAUAAUCAGUUCUCUAUAUUAAAAAAAAAAAAAGAUUUGGGCAUAGAUUGGGCUCACAUAAUCUUUAGAGAGAUUUUUUCAUUUUUGUGAAAGUACAGAAAUUCUUAACUGCUUAUGAAAUGCUGAUUGUUAAACAGCAUCCACAGCUAUUUUGUGUUGUUUCCCUGACCCCACCCUGAAGAAAAGAAAAAUUAUGGCAUAUUGAAAACAGCAGUAUGAUGUAAGAGAAAAGAUCACAAAUUCCUUGAGGGUGGGUCUUUUCCAUACUCAUAAGCCUAUUUAUAAUAUUCAGAGUAAUUUAUUGACACAUAUUAAUAUUCCCUCCUAUCCCAUUAAUUGCCAAAUCAUCAAACAUUUAUUGAGCACCUACUCUGUGUAGGGUGUAAGCAGUACUGGGGACUUACAGUGAUAAAAGACAUAGUUUUAGCCUUAAGUGAUGUACUGUUUCACUGAAGAGAUGGAAUAUAAGAAGCCAAGUAAUUUAUGGAAUUCUCUUCUUUGUUUUUCUUUUUUUUUUUUGGCAGUGGAGUCUUGCUCUUUAAAUAGAGCAAGGCUAGUCUGGAACUCCUGGGCUCAUGUGGUCCUCCCGCCUUAGCUUUCAGUGUAGCUGGGACUACAGGUGUGAACACAGCUUGGAAAUCUCUUAACCAUGGGAGUUAAGUCUCAAAAUUCUGGUGAUACAAGUGGUUGAAACUUAAAACUGUAUUUAAAAAAUAGGAUUCGUGAAUUUGAGAUAGUUCAUAAGUCUGCAAAAGGCUGUAUAAAUACAUAUUUUACAUUUACUAUUAUUAAUUUUGUAGUAAAUUUGAGUACAGCACUCUCUUUAUCUGUGGAAACUUCAGACUCUCCCCUAUUACUUUAAUUUCAGUGAGACAUUAUUAAAUAUAAGUGGGCUUACACAUUUGUUUUGCUUUACUGACAAAUAAUACACAACUUGGAGGCUUUUUUUUCCUUUCUAUUCUUCCUCUAAAUGUUCAACACUUUUCUGAUUUUGUGAUUUGAGGUUGUUUAAUAGCUUCCUGAGGCUCCAUUGAGACCGUAUAUACGUGACACUUAACAGUCUAGCCUUCCUCGGUACAUAUAGAUAUAUGAUGGUGGCUUUGCCUGUAGUAAAUUCAUGCCAAAACAUAGGCUUUCAGUGCCUAUUACAUAUGGCUUUCAGCUCUCUCUACUGAGGGAUGUAGGAGUUUAUUUCUGAGGUCUGAGCCUCUUUUCCUUUACUUCCUUUACUCUUUCCUAAGCCUUCUUUAUAAAAACUAUGCAUGUUCUAUUGUUUUCCUUUUUGAUUCCCUUUCUUUUAUUAUCCCCAGUAGGAGUGACUUGUAAUUCUCAUAUGUUAGAAAGGCAGAUCUCCUGGUUGAAGAAAAGAUCCACCCAAGCAAGUCAGCAUGUUUAAUAAUUUUUGAGGGGGAUCUCAAAUGUGGGAAGGAUUGUUAUAUAAGACAACCAAAUGAUGACAUGAGACAAUAAAUGCUAUAGGAAUUAUGGAGGAAUAAUUAGCUAUUUAUUUUCUUGGUUAGGGAAGAGAUAUUAUUAGUUGUAGAAGUAAUUACUAACUUCUACAUUUUUUAUUGUGGAAAUCAAAAAUAUAUAUAUGAAAAUAAAAUGUUAUAAUUGACUUCAGUGUCCCAUAAACCAGCUUCAACAAUUACCAAAUUGUGACCAAUCUUUACACACAUGCACAGGUGUCCCUCAGUAUCUGUGGGGCAUUGGUUCUAGGACCACUUAUGGAUACCAACAUCUAUGGAUGCUCAAGUCCCUGAUAUAAAAUGGUGGACUAUUUGCAUAUAACCUGUGUACAUCCCGUAUUAUUUAAAUCAUCCCUAGAUCACUUAUAAUACGUAAUACAAUGUAAAUGCCAUGUAAAUAACUGUUAUACUGUAUUAAGGAAUAACAACAAGAAAAAUGUACAUGUUCAGUACAGACGCAAUUUUUUUUGUGUGUGGAAUAUUUUCAUUCCAAGGUCAGUUGAACCCAUGGACAUAGGAGGCUGACUGUGUGUGUGUGUGUGUGUGUGUGUGUGUGUGUGUGCAUACAGACACACAUAUUUCUGAAAUGUAAAUAUUCUCUUCUUAAAAAAAUUAUUAUCACAGCUAAACAAAUUACCAGUAAUUCUUUUAUCCUCAUAUACCCGGUGUUCAGAUUUUCUAGAUUGGCUCCUAAUUUUUUUACAGAUUAUUUGAAUCUGAUUCAAUUCAUGUACUGUAAUGUUUGAUAACUUAAGUACCCUUUAUAGGUUCUCUUUUACCUCUUCUUUAUUAAAUUCCUUGUAAUUUGUUGUACUAAAUAGAUUGUCUUCUAGAAUUUCCUGUAGUCUGAAUUAUGUAGUAUUGUUUCACAUGUUCCAGUGUCCUCUUAUUUCCUGUGAGUUGGUAGUUAGAUCUAGAAGCUUGAUUAAAUUCAGAUUUUCUCUCUUUAGAUCAUCAACUUUAGAUCAUCAACUUGGAUCAUUUGUUUCAUUUUGCUUUUGAUAUGUUGUUUUUUAGAAUUACCUCUUAAAAUUUUGAUUUAAUUUUAUAAUCAUGUAAAAUGUUUAUAAAUUUCCAAAUUCAGAUCAGCAAAACACAAUAAAAUCUAUUCAGAGAAGGCAAACCUUCUGUCCAGUCUCCAUCCUGUUCCUGCUCUUCCCCUUAUGGGUAACCAUUAAGAGAAAAUUGGUGGUUGGUCCUUACAUUUAAAAAUAUAUAUAAUCAAAAAACUGUAUAUCUUUGUACCCUCUUUCUUAAAUUUAUUUUAUUUAUUUAUUUAUUUAUUUAUUUAUUUAUUUAUUUAUUUUAGACAGAGUUUCGCUCUUAUUGCCCAGGCUGGAGUGCAGUGGCGCAACCUUGGCUCACUGCAACCUCUAACUCCCAGGUUCAAGCAAUUCUCCUGCCUCAGCCUCCCGAGUAGCUGGGAUUACAGGUGCUCGUCACCACGCCUGGCUAAUUUUUUGUAUUUUUAGUAGAGAUAGGGUUUCACCAUGUUGGCCAGGCUGGUCUCGAACUCCCGACCUCAGGUGAUCCGCGUGCCUCGGCCUCCCAAAGUGCUGGGAUUACAGGCAUGAGCCACUGUGCCCAGCUUCCCUCUUUCUUAAUAAGUUGUGGAAUACUAUGUGCUCUUUUAAAAUGAUUGAUGAAUAGUAGUA
This is a long non-coding RNA of Homo sapiens (human), 4967 nucleotides long. Ensembl annotates it as endogenous Bornavirus like nucleoprotein 3, pseudogene. Its record names the gene EBLN3P. Lineage: Eukaryota; Metazoa; Chordata; Mammalia; Primates; Hominidae. The record is from Ensembl.